This 844-nucleotide ribosomal RNA is filed under the name Pleosporales sp. 3 NW-2015. RNAcentral's name for it is "eukaryotic LSU rRNA". It matches the Rfam family "Eukaryotic large subunit ribosomal RNA", at positions 72 to 933 of the family's 3401-position model. Lineage: Eukaryota; Fungi; Ascomycota; Dothideomycetes; Pleosporales. The record is from RNAcentral.
GGAUUGCCCUAGUAACGGCGAGUGAAGCGGCAACAGCUCAAAUUUGAAAUCUGGCUCCCUCUGGGGGUCCGAGUUGUAAUUUGCAGAGGGUGCUUUGGUGUUGGUGGCGGUCUAAGUUCCUUGGAACAGGACAUCGCAGAGGGUGAGAAUCCCGUUUGUGGUCGCCUACCUUCGCCGUGUAAAGCCCCUUCGACGAGUCGAGUUGUUUGGGAAUGCAGCUCUAAAUGGGAGGUAAAUUUCUUCUAAAGCUAAAUACUGGCCAGAGACCGAUAGCGCACAAGUAGAGUGAUCGAAAGAUGAAAAGCACUUUGGAAAGAGAGUCAAACAGCACGUGAAAUUGUUGAAAGGGAAGCGCUUGCAGCCAGACUUGCCCGUAGUUGCUCACCCAGGCUUUUGCCCGGGGCAUUCUUCUGCGGGCAGGCCAGCAUCAGUUUGGGCGGUCGGAUAAAGGCCUCUGUCACGUAUCUCCCUUCGGGGAGAACUUAUAGGGGGGGCGUAAUGCGACCAGCCCGGACUGAGGUCCGCGCAUCUGCUAGGAUGCUGGCGUAAUGGCUGUAAGCGGCCCGUCUUGAAACACGGACCAAGGAGUCUAACAUCUAUGCGAGUGUUUGGGUGUCAAGCCCGAGCGCGUAAUGAAAGUGAACGGAGGUGGGAACCCUUUGGGUGCACCAUCGACCGAUCCUGAUGUCUUCGGAUGGAUUUGAGUAAGAGCAUAGCUGUUGGGACCCGAAAGAUGGUGAACUAUGCUUGAAUAGGGUGAAGCCAGAGGAAACUCUGGUGGAGGCUCGCAGCGGUUCUGACGUGCAAAUCGAUCGUCAAAUUUGGGCAUAGGGGCGAAAGACUA